GCAACGAGACUCCCAUUUGCACACACGCAGUGCAAGGCUGCCUGUCGCUCCCCUACAGAGGCGACACCGGCCGGCAUAUCCGCAGAUCACGUUUUCUCCUCGACAAGUCUCUAUGACAUCGAAACCAUACGUAUGCGAGGUUUUCUCACGCGGCGGAUAUUCUUAAAGAGGGUAUACUCAUUCACCUUUGAAGAGCAACGGGAGAAUUCCUGUUCCCAUAGAUCACGCGAAGUUCCAGAAACCAGAUGUGCGAACCGACAUUCUAAGAGUCUCUCUUCCAAGAAGUGUCGGGCAGUGAACACAAGCAAGGGAAC
This 314-nucleotide small RNA is filed under the name Histoplasma capsulatum var. duboisii H88. Its description in RNAcentral is "Histoplasma capsulatum H88 hypothetical RNA". Lineage: Eukaryota; Fungi; Ascomycota; Eurotiomycetes; Onygenales; Ajellomycetaceae. The record is from RNAcentral.